GUGGGGAAUAUUGGACAAUGGGCGAAAGCCUGAUCCAGCCAUGCCGCGUGUGUGAAGAAGGUCUUCGGAUUGUAAAGCACUUUAAGUUGGGAGGAAGGGCAGUAAGUUAAUACCUUGCUGUUUUGACGUUACCGACAGAAUAAGCACCGGCUAACUUCGUGCCAGCAGCCGCGGUAAUACGAAGGGUGCAAGCGUUAAUCGGAAUUACUGGGCGUAAAGCGCGCGUAGGUGGUUUUGUAAGUUGGAGGUGAAAUCCCCGGGCUCAACCUGGGAACUGCCUCCAAAACUGCAUGACUAGAGUACGGUAGAGGGUAGUGGAAUUUCCUGUGUAGCGGUGAAAGGCGUAGAUAUAGGAAGGAACACCAGUGGCGAAGGCGACUACCUGGACUGAUACUGACACUGAGGUGCGAAAGCGUGGGGAGCAAACAGGAUUAGAAACCCCUGUAGUCC
RNAcentral lists this ribosomal RNA (450 nucleotides) under uncultured bacterium. RNAcentral's name for it is "partial 16S ribosomal RNA". It matches the Rfam family "Bacterial small subunit ribosomal RNA", at positions 354 to 796 of the family's 1533-position model. The record is from RNAcentral.